Molecule: ribosomal RNA, 392 nt
Filed under: uncultured bacterium
Lineage: Bacteria
Description: bacterial SSU rRNA
Rfam family: Bacterial small subunit ribosomal RNA
Source: RNAcentral
CGGGUGAGUAACGCGUAUCCAACCUUCCGUACACUCAGGGAUAGCCUUUCGAAAGAAAGAUUAAUACCUGAUGGUAUGAUGAGAUUGCAUGAUAGCAUCAUUAAAGAUUCAUCGGUGUACGAUGGGGAUGCGUUCCAUUAGGUAGUAGGCGGGGUAACGGCCCACCUAGCCUACGAUGGAUAGGGGUUCUGAGAGGAAGGUCCCCCACAUUGGAACUGAGACACGGUCCAAACUCCUACGGGAGGCAGCAGUGAGGAAUAUUGGUCAAUGGACGAGAGUCUGAACCAGCCAAGUAGCGUGAAGGAUGAAGGUCCUACGGAUUGUAAACUUCUUUUAUAAGGGAAUAAAACCUCCCACGUGUGGGAGCUUGUAUGUACCUUAUGAAUAAGCAU